RNAcentral lists this small nuclear RNA (19 nucleotides) under Arabidopsis thaliana (thale cress). RNAcentral describes it as "snRNA_04632". Lineage: Eukaryota; Viridiplantae; Streptophyta; Magnoliopsida; Brassicales; Brassicaceae. The record is from RNAcentral.
AAAUGGUGAAUCUACUUGG